RNAcentral lists this ribosomal RNA (375 nucleotides) under uncultured organism. RNAcentral's name for it is "partial 16S ribosomal RNA". It matches the Rfam family "Bacterial small subunit ribosomal RNA", at positions 527 to 896 of the family's 1533-position model. The record is from RNAcentral.
GUAGGUGGCAAGCGUUGUCCGGGAAUUAUUGGGGCGUAAAGCGCGCGCAGGCGGUUCUUUAAGUCUGAUGUGAAAGCCCACGGGCUCAACCAUGGAGGGUCAUUGGAAACUGGAGAACUUGAGUACAGAAGAGGAAAGCGGAAUUCCACGUGUAGCGGUGAAAUGCGUAGAGAUGUGGAGGAACACCAGUGGCGAAGGCGGCUUUCUGGUCUGUAACUGACGCUGAGGCGCGAAAGCGUGGGGAGCAAACAGGAUUAGAUACCCUGGUAGUCCACGCCGUAAACGAUGAGUGCUAAGUGUUAGGGGGUUUCCGCCCCUUAGUGCUGCAGCUAACGCAUUAAGCACUCCGCCUGGGGAGUACGGCCGCAAAGGCUG